GUAGUUGUGGCAUCUUUUAGCUCACAAUUUGCGUACACUUGAAUCCGUUAUGUGAUUUUUUUGAGUUAGUGGGAGUUAGUAUCAUACAUGCUCUGCCAAGAUAUGCCUCGCAACCAUAUUGUUGCUGCUGCCUCACAGGCCCCUUCGAACAUAGGAUAUCUGUUUUCUUAUUUUUGUUGAUUUUGUUAAUCUUUCUUGCAUCCGUUAUAACUGGGGAUUAUCGAAAGUUCUAAUUCCUAGAUUUCAAAAGCUUAACAUCAAUUUUGUGUCUUGAUGUGUUAUAAUACUACAAUUAUAACAUCUAGAAAAAUAUUAUAAUAAUGCUUAUGAUGUUCCGUUUUAAUUGGCUACUACUUAUUGACUUCAGCCAAGUUCCACUUGAAGGGAGAUUUGUGUGUGGUGUUGGCAUCACAUAUUGGAUAUGGCCUAGAAAGAUGAGUCGGAGGAACGCUGCCUGCAUAUUGCACUACAUAUGAUAAAGACCGAAUUAUAGGGAUGGCUGCAAACUGUGAAAGGUUAUUUAACUGCUACAGCCGCUGCCUCGCAGGUCCUGCUGCUGCUGCAGUAGUCGCUGCCUGUGGUGGAUAUUGGAGCCAAUUCUCCACCGGAGCUCCCAUCACUGCCACUCUCUUUCCCGGCGAUGGUAUUGACCCUGAAAUUGCCGAAUCCAUCAAACAGAGUUUACAAGCUCUGCACAAACCAGAGAAUCUAAGCCAGUGGCAUGGUGUGAGAUUCAGGUGGACGCUGCAUCUCUGUUCGCUGCUGUUCUGCUACUACGCUGCUGUUGUUCUGCUACUAUGCUGCUGCUGCUGCUCUGUUACUAUGCUGCUGCUGCUCUGCUAGUGAUUGUAUGUAGGAAGUUGUUGCUCUUGUUAUAGUGAAUAUAUCCAAUGUAUUUCUUUUUCUUUGUUUUUUGCAAGUGUAAAAUUACAGGUUAUCAAUGAAAUUAUCAGUUUCAAGUA
Molecule: RNA transcript, 962 nt
Organism: Chenopodium quinoa (quinoa)
Lineage: Eukaryota; Viridiplantae; Streptophyta; Magnoliopsida; Caryophyllales; Amaranthaceae
Gene name: isocitrate dehydrogenase [NAD] catalytic subunit 5, mitochondrial-like
Exons: 3
Source: RefSeq, a predicted model, not a curated record